CACACACACACACACACUUACACAGAAGCCCUCCACACACACACACACACACUUACACAGAAGCCCUCCACACACACACAAAGACGUUAUGCCUUUAAUCAGGAUCAGAUUUCAAAGUGCCUACAUGUUUUGGGGCAACAGGGACGAGCCCCAAAUAGCCGAUUAUUAUUAUUAAGUCUUUGUCCUGUUUGCCAAAGUCUGUCCGUGUGUCUCGUCCCAAAGCAUCUGACCACCAAUACCUCAAAUGUGACAUCUGCAAGGUGGCACUCGCGUUCUCAGAGAAGACGUCUCUCGGGAGUAUGCAAAAACGCCCCAAAACCCUCGCUUGUGAGUCUGCGGCCUAGUCGGAUCUCUUCCACCAAGCACCCAGAACCAUAUUAAACCUCCCCAGAACAUUAUGCAGGCGGAGGAAAAACAGCUAAUGGAAUAAUCCCCCCGUCCUCGCUUUGGAGCGCAGAAGAUCCACACAAACCCAAAACAAUGCCGGCCGGCGGAAGGCAGAGGACCAAAAAUAAGCCGGUGGGAGGGUUUUGUUUUGCGAAGGAGCUCAUUGGCAGCUGCUUCAUCUGUGAAGUGCUUCGUUUGGAACAUUUAUAGAACUAUGUUUCACCUCGUGAAUAUUCAUGCGAGGAAAGCAGAAUGUUUCUCUGUUUCAGGUAAAGAGCACAUUUUAAAAGUGAUUUUAGGUCCCAAAAGCUGUAAAAAAACAACAACUACAGGACCAACCGGCAGAAGCUCUCUGCUUGGGAGAUAUUUCCCAUAAGACUCAGUAACGACCAAAAAUAGAGAUUAAAGCAGAGUAAAUAUUAAAAAGACGUUCAUCAUAUAUUCAUACUGCUGUCUGCUGGGUACGAAAAACACGCCACAUCAUGUCGACAAGUUUGCCAUCACCACGUCCUCGCUGCCUCGCAGGGAGCUGAAUGAAAGCAGCUUCAGCAUAUUACACGUAUGUAAUGACUCACAAGCAGACGUAAAAAAUACAUUUCAAAUCAUUGCCAUCGGAAAGAUGUGUCAUCGUAAAAUUGAGUUGUUGAGUUGUUGCAUAUAACCUGUUUAACAUAACGUUGGAUAACUCAUCUUAACACUAAUAUGCCGUAAUCUGAACAUUUAUGAGUAAAAUCUUCUUAGUGAGUUGACGAACUAGUUAAAUAGCAACAAGGCCUUUGGGUCGGAGCCCGUCCUUGUGUUUUAUAUUAUAGCUCCGUGUUCAAAGGCCGCUUGCUGCUACAGGAACAGGCUGGUCCACUGUGUGUGUGUGUGUCUGUGUCUGUGUGUGUGUGUGUGUGUGUGUGUGUGUGUGUGUGUGUGUGUGUGUGUGUCACGCUUCGGGCUCAGAAAUGUGACACCUCAAAGAUGAGAGCGUGAAAUAAUCAAACGUGAGGGAAUUUCCUGCUGCUCUAGACGUGUAAAAGUCACAAUUUUCAAGCAUGUCAGAGCUAAAUUAUGAAGAAAUAUCAACAGGAUUUGAACAAAUAACAGAAACGGAUUGGAAGCUGACUUCUAUUGGGACCAAUAUGUCAAACGCUGCUGCUUCAUCUGGGGAGGAAAUAAAACAUCAUAAAUCAUUAAAAGAUUUAUGUCUGGUGCCGUUGUUUCUUUGUAUUUGCACCCAGAAGCAGCAGCAGGCGUUACGACACAUCCGGGUGGUGCAUGUUGAAAUGCUACACACUUCAGUGUGGAGGGUUUGCAUCACAAAGAAAGGACGAGGUGGUGAAGGGUGACGGAGGCCCAACUCAUUAUUAAUGGAGCUUAAGCGGCAGUUCUAGAAGGAAGACCUUUAUGCCACACGUAACGUAGAGACGCUUCAGCUGGUCCCCCAGAACUACCCAACCAGCGGAGAUGUAUGCGACCAACAGAGGCGGCGCUGUGGCUCUAAACCAAUCACAUAGUUGCUGUCAAACCUUUUUCAAAGGGUUCUCUCUGUGUCGCUGUCAGGUGUCAUUUCAGAGUGAAACCGGAUGCGACCCUCCUCCACCCAUCAGGCGCCCCCAGCAGCUGUCAGGCAUUCUUCACUUGUCCUUGGUUUUCAUCAACUCUCUUCUUCACCACCACCACCACCACCAGUGUCUGGACUCCAGGGGGGGAUUCUGCCAAGCAGAACAUCACCGCCCCUUGAUUAUCCCGGUUUAGGAUGGAGUGCAAUCGCCAAAGAUUCUGCACAUUUCAAUAUUAUACAUUAUGUGUAAAGUUUGUCAAUUCGGACGGAGUCUGUCCUGAUUGAAAUAGCCUGAUGUGGAAAUGGAGCUGCGAUGCAGCACCUGCAGCCGGCGCAGAGACGUCCGUCAGGCGCUCACACACCGCGGAGGCGGGACUUAUUUCGGUUAAUCAUUUGAAGCAAUGAUGGCCUCCGCCUUCCUUCCUCUGGGGAGGACCGAGCGGGAAGCUUCGCUUGUGCGAAGGCAUGUUGUCACAAAAGCAUUUUUUAUGUACAGUACGUGCUUGUGUGUUUGUGCGUGUGUGUGUGUGUGUCAGCUUUUAUUGAACGCGUUACUGAAGCGGCGUCCUUAGGUCAACACACACAUGCACACACGCUCACAAUGUAAGUUAGCCGGCGAGAACGAUGUCGUUUUUGUGGUACGCUGAAAAUAACGAGGCUGCUGUUUCCCAUGAUGCCUCACUGGCUGAGCGCCCCCCCCCCCUCGCGGCCAAUCAAGUGGCAGACACCCGCUCAUUAGAGCUUAAGCAGGCAGUCACACAUUGUUGUACGUACACACACACACACACAGUCUGACUUCACCUAAUGCUGAUUUAGCAGCACACACCGUCUGUCAGGAAUGAUUAACCUUUCCAUCAAUCUCAGGUUUCUCCAUUAUUCCAGACACACACACACACACACACACCGGCUCGCACACGGUUAGGUGUGAGCGAGUGCGCCCGCCCACACACACGAACACGUAUGAACAGGUUGUCAUCCUCAAGGUCUUACGCGAUAAGAGGCUCGAUGAAUCUGUUCUCAUAACUAGAGGCGGGAUGUGUUGAGAGGCGUAGGGGCCACGGAGGUCGAGGCCGCGGAUCAAUAAAACAAAAUGAUGUUGUUCUGAUUGUUUCACGGCGAGCACAAAUAAACACACACACACACACACACACACACACACAGCUUAAGAUGCGCUGCAUCGGGCUGCUGGCUGUCUGUGUGUCUGCAGGUCAUAUGGCAUAAUAAUAGAACAAGGUAGAAGUAGCUAGCAGCAGCUAACCGUAGCUAGCAGUAGUUAGCAGUAGGUAGUAGUAGCUAAUAGUAGCUAGUGGUAGCUAACAGUAGUUAGCAGUAGGUAGUAGUAGCUGAUAGUAGCUAGUAGUAGCUAACAGUAGCUAGCAGUAGGUAGCAGUAGCUAAUAGUAGCUAGUAGUAGCUAGCAGUAGGCAGCAGUAGCUAGUAGUAGCUAGUAGUAGCUAACAGUAGUUAGCAGUAGGUAGUAGUAGCUAAUAGUAGCUAGUAGUAGCUAACAGUAGGUAGCAGUAGGUAGCUUGUCCACAGGCCAGUGGAGUCAUCGGGAUGAUGAGACUGCAGAUGCCCUGCAGCGACUGUUUGGCAAUUUGUGUUGUAGCGCUCGCUAGGGAGCAACACACUAUUAGAUGUUUGAGAAAGAUGACACACUUCAUCCACAGGACAAUACUGAGCGGAGAAGGAGUUUAGAAAUGUUUGAUUACAUUGUUAAAGGAGCUCUGGGCGGGAUUUUCCAGCAGCAUGAGAGAAGAAGUCCAAACUAAAUGAGACACAGAGGAUUGUGAGUAUUGUUGUACAAACUAGUGUCUCCCUGCACACACACACACACACACACACACAGCCAAGGGUUCAGCGUCAGUUGACUUUAAGAGUAAAACAAAAAGUGUGUACGUCAUUGAUGCAGCGGAGUGAACACGAUUCCUUUCUUCGUUUAACCUUGUCGUCAUAUUCACCGGUUCAGUUUCUUUUGUAGAGUCACAGCGCACGUUAUGUGAAAGUUGCACUGGCUGCCAGCUAUGUACAGUUUUAAUAAUCAGAUGGGGCGAAGAUGAAUCAUUAAAACCAAAUUGACAAUUUCAAAAAUGCCCAGCCGAGGCCGCAAUGUUGCUGACAAAAGGAGGCCGAUUCCAGCUCGGAGUCUGCCGUCCAAACCGUCCUCUACAUGUCCCUCCAAAACAAGCAUCUUGGCCGUAAAGUGACCCGCGCGCGCAACCUUUGCCUCCUUCUCCGCUUACAAAGUGACACCCCCGCGACAGCUCGCGCGCACAAUCCGCUCACUUCAAAGCAUCCGUGCAGAAAAACGUUACACGCGGAACGAGUGAAGCAGACGCUUUCAGGAAGUCAGUAAUCAUGAUGCGCCACAGUUCGGCUGUUUGUGAUUGUUGCACAAAACAAAACAUCUGUUAUCUGUAGUCCAAUGGUGUGUGUGUGUCUGUGUGUGUGUGUGUGUGUGUGUGCGCGCGGGUGGGUGUUCCAUUAUUUGCAUCAUUUAUCUCAAUUGCCGGUUCGACCAUCACAGCGGAGGCCGUCUCCGUCUCUGUCAACACAGCAGCAGCAGCCUGGCUGGCUGGCGAGCGUCAAUUCCCCGUCACGUUCAACCAGUCGUGUGUGUCUGUCACACACAGGCAGACACACACAAACACACACACACACACACACACAGAGUGGACAACACGGGAGACACAAACAUCCACUUUGUGGCAGAGUUACAGGUCGUGUGAACACUUUCCACCAUAAUGUGUUUUAAUGGGAAGUGGCAGUGAAAAAAGUGAUUGUGUGUGUUUGUGUUGCGUGUGUUUGUGCGUGUGCUCAGCGAACACGCCGAUGUUGCUUUUAUAACAUUUUACAGUUGGCUGCAUGUAUCAAGACGAGAGGGAUAUAAACAGCUUGAGGUGUCUGAGUGAUGCCUCUUCAGCUUCUGCUCGGUCUGUGUGUGUGUGUGUGUGUGCACACGCGUGUGUGUGUGCGUGCGCGCGUGUGUCACAUACUGUAGAAAUAGAAAGACAGAGCGCGAGCUGCUCUCCUCGGUGAGUUAUUGCACGCAGUCACCAGGCCAUUUGUCUGGCAAAGUUGUAAAGGCAAACUUUGCAGAAGUUCUCAGACAGGCCAUAACACGCUCCACCUCCCCGAGCACAUAAGCUCUGCUUUCUAUUACUGAGGAAUCUGGCUGCCGCUCCGUCAGCGCGGAGGUCCCACACUGCACCGCACGCCGCCGAGGCAACAAAUAGCCACGUCCGUCGGGUGGGAGAAAAAAAGCUCGGGCCCACUUCUCGGAGUGCUGUUUUCUGGAGGCGCGUCGGAUUGAUCCGCAGCGCGACCCUUUUUUUUUUUGAGGAUUAUCUGCUUAAACAGAUGUGCCUUUAAGAGGAAUUAUUCACACACCAAAAAAAGAAUAAUCCAUCUACUGAGGAGAUAGCGGCGGCUUUAGUCGGCUGAGGCGUCACCGCAGUUUUGGGUCGCCGGACCAUCGACAAACUGGACGCUUCAUCUUUGCACUCCACUCCUGUCACGGGGUCCCGUGGGGGACGAGGCCACGCGGUACCUGUUGGUCCACGAUGCGGCCAACGCGGUAGAAACUAUCUAAGAUCAGCACUUUCAAGAGGUCCACAUUGUGAAUUUACAUUCCUACACAAACACGCCAUGAACAUAAUCAAUUUUCAUCCCUGAGAUUGGAUUGGACCCUAUUUAAUUGUUUAAUUAAAAUAAUUCACAGACUGCUAUGAUCCCUUUGUAAUAAAUUGAUUUUGGUCUGAAGUAUUGCGGCGAUAAACGGUGUGAACCGGCUCCCGUAAUGGAUUAAAACAGUGACUCAGGGAACGAAAAACUCCUCAAGGGGACGAGUGUCUGCAGCGAACCACGACGCACAACCCUGAACCGCGCGGUGGUUUUGAAACGUUGUCACCCAUUUUUGUUUGUCGUCCCGUGCAGAGACCAAAGACGACGACGCCGCCGCCGCCGCGCACGGGCGUCUCAGAGCUGCCCGCCGAUGCUCUGUGGUGCUUAACGGAAAACAGCUGCCGGACAAACAGGUCACAAUGACCGCCGCGCGUCCUCGCGACAGACACACUCCUGCAGCCUCCCGCGUGCGUCGGGCCUCGUCUUUUGGAGACGAGCGAUGUCGCCGGCGUGGAGUCUGUUAGUUUUGCAUGUCUACAACGUCUGACAAAUCCUUUUUCAUAUCAGAGUGUGGCGUGCGUGGGCGUGUGUGCGUGUUUAUUUGUCCGGGUUCACACGUUGCUUUCAGAAAUGUUUAUCCUCAACAUUAGUGUGCGUCCGAGAGUGUGUACGCGUGUGUGCUGCCGAGUGUGAAAUCCCAUUAAGUGUGUUAAAACCCUCUUUGGCCUACUGCCUGCCCAGAGAGACAGACUACACACACACACACACGCACACACGAGUGCGAGUUAACACACCUGUGUGCACGUGUGUUUUUGUGUGCAGGCCAGUGUGUGUCCUGCUUUGUCAGGUGUUUGGGGUCCUUGGUGUGCACUUCAUAACAUCUACACACUCGUUACCUCAUCUCACCUACGGGGUCUUCCGUGUGCCACACAAGUAUUUAAGGAGUUUUCACGUCAUAAUUAACGGGUAGAUUGAUGCAUUAUUUGUAAAAGCAACACUUCUCAAAGUAAAUCAAAGGAUCGUUACGUUGAUUUGACUUAUUAGAAAGGCUCUUAUUUUGAAAUGGAAAACCUGAGUAAAUGAACGUUAUUAAAGCCAUUUGAACAAAAUUUUGUGAAAAGCAUGAAAAAAUGACUGAAAAUACUGAAAAUACUCACACGUUAAAAAGUAAUAUACAUAAAAUUGUUCUUUUCUAAGAAAAAAAAGUUUUUGUUCCACUAAAGUAUUGUUAAGUAACACAAUGAAGCAGUAAAAUUACCAGAACCAAAUAGUUUGAUGCUUCUAUUUCUAUUUCCGUGACCCUCCUCGUUGACUUUUGGAUUAGGAUCAAUAACUCACAGUCUUUCUCAUCUACCUGCUGUAACACACACAACACAGCGUUGGACGAUUAGUACAAAACUCAACGUGUUGAAACGGGAAACAAGUUGAAAAAGGAUCCGUAGUCGGAAUCAUUUGCAGAAUUGACAUUGUGGUUCAGCUGUUCAAAUUACCCCGACAAACUGCACGCCGGCUACAGCUCACGACAAGAAGAAAACACGGAAAAGAGGAGGAACAACGAGAGACCAGCUGUGUCUGUUUGGAGGGUUUUUGGUUUUGGAAAAUCCGACGAAAGUUACGUUAGAACAGUACUAGCAGCCACAACAAGCUAACGAGCUAACAGUUAGGAGCAAGUCGCUGUCCGGGUAACAAAGCGUCGGCCCUUUUCGGGGUCAAUGAAUGAAUGUGUUCACUUGCAAAAGCGUACCGUCAGAAUCUUACCGCACAGCCCUUCCUCAAGGCCCAUAAUGGACCUGGGAGUGAGGGGGGGUUUAGUUAUCUGAAGUAUCUGAUGCAUAAUCACUACAAGCAACUUGAGGUUCCGCUCUUUUCGUUUGACCACGAAAAGCAACACGAGGAUAAAACACAAACAAUUCUGAGACAGAGAUAUUUCCACAUCAGCCCUCUGCUCUCGUUUUCUCGCCUCUCUUUGGUGCAGCUCUGACUCUUCCCGUCUUUUCUCAGGGCGCCCCCCUCCCGACCCCC
This is a long non-coding RNA of Gasterosteus aculeatus aculeatus (three-spined stickleback), 7581 nucleotides long. The record is from Ensembl. NCBI's taxonomy places the organism in Eukaryota, Metazoa, Chordata, Actinopteri, Perciformes, Gasterosteidae.